This 5039-nucleotide long non-coding RNA is filed under the name Mus musculus (house mouse). RNAcentral describes it as "long non-coding RNA chr13:109793483-109798522". Lineage: Eukaryota; Metazoa; Chordata; Mammalia; Rodentia; Muridae. The record is from RNAcentral.
AUCAGCUACAGACUCCCACCUCAGUAUAGCGUCAUGUAUAAUGCCUCUGUCCGGUUAGAUGCCUCCUCUCUGGUUCCUACCUUACUCUUCAGUACCAGUCGACUUCUCUACCCACUCACCAUGUCUCCUAAUUCUUUUUUUCACUCACUUCUUCAUAUCCCCUCAGCUAGAACUCACUUUCCGUAUAAUUGUUUGGUUUACCGCAAUGCACUUUGGGAUGAGGGGGCAAUGCAAGCUCUGCCCCACUCACCAGGCUGAGCAGUGUUCUCUGGACUUGGGUGCUUGGCAGCCUUGGUAGCCAACCCAAAUUCAGCAUCACACUGAUGAAAAUACCCCGUAGAUUGUUAUAGGUCUGGAUUCUUCAAAGCCCCAAACUAACUACAUCAGCUCCGUGGUUGUCUUCAUCAUAGGAUGCCGAGGCAACAUCACACCUGACUUCCAGGUUUUCAGGAGACCGGAAGUAAAGGUGGUCCGCAAGUCUUCCCAUCGUCUUCACAGGGCUCCUUGGGAUGACUCAAAGUAUGGAAAAACGAAUCACCUAGAAGCCAGCAUGGCAAAAUAUUCUCCUCCUACCCUGCAAGGAAACUGGGGUUGGAAGUGCGCUUAGCCCCUUUGACAGAUACAAAUGAGCUGAGAGAAGCAAAUGACUGCUGGUCCUCUCCUUACAGUCAGUCCGCAGAUUCAAAACGAGGAGACUGAGGGAGCCCCAGCCACUCCUGCCGGGAGGAUGAGCACGUUAUUUAUUUAGCUUUAUGGAAACACUGGGGAAGCAUGUCUGGGAUGUGACAGGUGUGGGGUGAGUGUGUAGCCCUGUGCCAGGUACCCAGAGGGCUGCUUUGAUAGGGAAGUGGAUUUUUUUUUCUAUCCAUUUUCCGGUUCUGUGGCUGUAUUUUUCCAUCCUCUUUCCCAUGAAGGAAUAGAUCUCCAAUGGCUCUCUCACACUUUCCUCCCUCGCUUCCCUCCCUCCACUCUUCUUCCUCCUCUUCUCAUAGACCAGAAGCUGGCCCCAGUCAUGCCUCCCUUUUAUGUGGUGGGUCGGUUCUGUUGCGUCGUUUCAUGGUCUUGGACCGAGAGCCGCCUCAGUAGUCAACACCGAACCCUGGACCGUGAGACUAAUGGGAAAAGCAGAAUUCUUUCAAGUAAAAGGAAGUGGUUUGUGUUGUGGGGGGAAAAACUUGGAAAGAAACGACACCAAGAACACUAAGGGCUCUAUUCCCCUCACUCCCUACAGCUGGGUUAAUACAUUUCAAAAUAUUUAGUCAAUUGAGUUAAUUCCAUCAAACGGCUACUCGAUGCCGUAAAAAGGAAGGGAAAUAAACAGAUGGUUUUAGGAAGGACUGGCUUAGCUUUCUGCAACCUUGAUCUUACUCAUUUCUAGAGAAUGAGUUCAACUCUAAGGAAAUGUAAACAUGUCAUUGGCAAACCAUUACAAACUAAGUUAACAAGAAUGGAUUUUGAAAUGUAUAUUCAAGAUAGAUAUAUAUAUAUACAUACAUACAUACAUACAUACAUACAUACAUAUACUUGGUAAUAUAUAUGAUCCCAAGUGACGUUAGGAUAGAGCACAGGCAUGGAUUGUAUGAAGGGAAAAGAAAAGACUAAAAUUGAGAGAAAUUCUUUUCUUUCUUGUAUACUAAAAUCUGACCUGCAUGAUUCUAUCUUCUCAAAGCAACCUUAGGAGAUAGGCAAACUUACUAUUUCCAUUUUAUAAAAGGGGAAAAUAACAUUAGGCUCAGAGCAGUUUAAGGCACUUCCCACAAUGAUUAUUCUGUAAACGUGGGUAUAUUAGCUGGGCUCACUUUUAAUAUACAUAUUCAACUUACUAAAAGUGAAUGUAUAUGUAUAGUGAUAUGUAUAUGUAUAUCACUAGACUGGCUUGUAGGCUAUGGUCCAGGUACUUUAAUAGAUGUCUCCUGAUGCAAAAGGCUGAGAACCUGGUUGUAGUUCAGUUUACAAGGCUGGAUGUCUCAGCAGUGCCAGUUUGGCACUAGAGUCCUUCAGGGUUCCUGGGAAGCUACUGAUCUAAUACAGGUGAGGGGAUGCGUCAGCAAGGAGAUAGAUGAACUUGCCAGCAAGAGUGAAGGUAAGCAGGCAAAAAGCCGUUUCCUUCUUGCACGUCUUUCUGUGCAGCUAGCACGAGGGGUGGCCCAGAUUUAGGGCGGGUCUUCCACCUUUAAAUAGUGUGAUUAAGAAAAUCCCUCAGAGGAGCGGCCCAACGGCUUGGGUUUUAGUCGACUGAUUGUAAAUGUAGGUCAGAUUAGAGCCCCUGGAUCCACCGCAUUGUGGGUCCAGAGUUUCAAUCCCAACAGGUACAUUUCCCCUUACCUGAGAAGAGCACGGGACUGUGUCUUUUGAAUAACCUCAGCUCCAUUUCCUGUGCUCUCUGUGUCCUGUUGUAUUUUCCCUUUAAUUCUUUCCCACCCCUUCUGUUCUUCUUCUACACCCUUCAUCCUUUUAUUCUUUAAGUUUAUUUCUAUUGCCUUACUCUUGCCAUGCGGUUCAUCCUCAGCCCUCUAGACGAUCCCAUUGUAACAGUUUGGACGUUCAACCUCCUCCAGAGAACCUACCUAUGUUUAGACCAUUGUUCUCUCUGGCUGGUGACACUUGUGGGAAAUGGUGAACUUUUAGGGGUUAGGGAGGGGCUGUGGAAGGUCUUUGAGGAUGGGGAGGGGGCGGCAGCAUAUCCUGAAAGGUAUCACAGAGUUCCAGCCUCUUCUCUUUCCACAUCUUUAAUGGCCCUGAUGUGAAUGGUUUUACAGACAUCCCUACCACAGUUUUUUUUUGCCUGCUCAAGCCCAAAGCAUCAUGGUCAAUGGGUCACAGUUUAAAAAAAAAAUUCUUCAUCCCCCCGCUCAGCUCUUUGCAUCUCACUACAUCUUCUCCCAGGUCCAGCUUCUUGUCAAUCUUAUCUAUACUCCCCUAGCUUCUCCUUGCCUCAGUUAGAAAUCGCCAUCUUUCAUCACCAGAGAGGCCAAGUAUAAAUGAGAAUAGACUGGGUCAUUCUGCUCCCAUACAGAAAACACUGUAAUUAUAAAAAUGGAUUUGAUUCUGACAGAUAUCUCAUAAAUUGGGCUAUUGUUGAGCUUCAGAUGGUCUCUAGUGAAAGACGUGCCUCUCUCUCUCUCUCUCUCUCUUUCUCUCUCUCUCUCUCUCUCUCUCUCUCUCUCUCUCUCUCUCUCUCUCUCUCCCCCCUACCAGUAAGUAAGCUCUAGAUAGCAGAUAAAAGCCAAAUGAAGGUCUGUGAGAGCUAAACCUAAUGCAAUCCUGAUAUACAAUUCAUUUGUGGUAAACUCGAUAGAGUGCCUUGUGAUGUAGUACUUUGAACAAAGUCACAUUUAGCUCAAGUGACCAUAUUUUGAACUGGCCAAUAUAGAACAACAUAGGGUCAUCUCCCUGAAUCAAACCUGCUCCAUGGCUUUUCCUGGAAAUACCCCAAGAGCUCCAAAGACAGAUUCCAGAUUUCCAAGCUACUAGCAACAAAUGAACAUCUUUUCCUUGUGAGAUAAAUCACAGAACUCCCUCAUCAGCACAUGGUAGCAUUCUAACUUGAUCAGCCUCAUUACCAGAAAUAACUAAAGCAAAAUAAUGCUGUUCUUCAUGGAUGCUGGUAGGCCACGCUGUAAAGUCUUGCAGAAUCAUCAGAACUCAAGAGACAUGAAACUCCAUCUUGUGCUUACAAAGAAGCCAGCAUCAAUUUCAGACUCUCAUCUUCUUGCUUGCAUACAUGAACACUUUCCUUUCUCUGGGAACAGGUCCUGUGCCUAUGCUACCUGCUCUCCCAUUGACCCAGUUGGUUCAUGGCUUGCUAAAACUUUUCUAGCCAAAAUUUUACUUCAAGCUAUCUGUAUAUGAUGAUGGUGAUAACGAUGAUGAUGAGUUUUUUUAAUUCUUGAUUCUACUUACCUUCAUUGUAAUUUCCCAUUUACAAUUGCACUUAAACCCUAAGUGUAAUUAGGUAACUAACUAUUGCUGUGAUAUGUUGCCAGUUCAUUGACUACCCAUGAGCCAACAAACCACUUGCUUUGGGGUUAGAUAUUCAUACCUGGUCUACUUAACAACGAGAAAAAAAUUUUUUUAAACAAAAUAAAAUUCUUGAGAGUUCCUCAUGUGUCAGGCAACUUCACAGAGUUCUUGGGAUACAAUGGUGACCCCAAAACAAGCACUAUCCCUGUCCUUAGUUCUCAUGACUAGGGGUAGGUCAAGGGAAAGAUAUAUGAAUAAAGUAGUCAUGGUACUGAAUAUAAUAUUCCCAACCUAAGUAUGUCCUAUGAGGAGAAACUUAUGAAUGACCAGGAAAAAACCAAACCAAACCAAACCAAACCAAAAACCCUCAGUAUUGCCAAGUUCCAGAAAUCUCUUGGAAAAACACAUACUUAUGCAUAGCAUAAUGGAGAUUCUGAGCAAACUCCAGAAGCAUGUUGCAUUACACAUACACACAUAUGUAUGAAAUAUGUGUGUAUGUGUGUGCUUGUGUGUGUAUUGUCUUAGUCUGAAGGCUUUGCCCAGAUAGCACUGAAUACACACUGAUUUAAACUUAAAUCUCCAUUGUGCAUCUAUUUCUCACUUGCAAAGGCUAGCAAUAUGAUACUACAACUUCGCCAAGCUACUCCAAGUUGUAGUCACUCUUAGUUCCAAAUCUAUUAAUUUUUUUUUUAAAGACUCCGGUGGAAGGUGAAAGCCAGUGUUUACUCCCACGUUUCAACCAACCUGUGUGACCACAGGGAACCAGCCCUAGGAACCAACAGGCAGACCGUAAGGACUAUCUUUUCAAACUCUGAAAUUUUCCUAAACCCCAGUCCAGUGUUGGUCAAACGCUUUACAACCUCUAUUUGUCCCUAGGCAGUUGCCUGUGCCUGGAAUUCCUGCACCAAGGUACCCUUGUGGUAUUUUUAAUAGUGUUGUUUGAUGCUGUAGCCAGCUUUUCUGCGGUUUGAGAGUUAAAUGGGAUACAGUGAUGUGGUGUGCUAUAAUAGCUCUUGGAGGAAUGUUAAGACAAAUUAAAGUCCAAGUGAGAUAGCACCUGAAGGAACCUGGUCCUU